GUCGAGAAUCUUCCGCAAUGCGCGAAAGCGUGACGGAGCGACACCGCGUGAUGGAUGAAGUCCUUCGGGGCGUAAACAUCUUUUAUAAAGGAGGAAAUUUUUGACGUUACUUUAUGAAGAAGGGGCUCCCAAUCUCGUGCCAGCAGGAGCGGUAAUACGAGAGCCUCAAGCGUUAUCCGGAAUCAUUGGGCGUAAAGGGUGCGUAGGUGGUUUGAUUAGUCUCCCGUUAAAACUUCGAGCUUAACUCGAAAAGAGCGGGGGAAACGGUCAAGCUAGAGUAUGUGAGAGGUGUGUGGAACUCAUGGUGUAGGGGUGAAAUCCGUUGAUAUCAUGGGGAACACCAAAAGCGAAGGCAGCACACUGGCACAUCACUGACACUGAGGCACGAAACCUAAGGUAGCGAAUGGGAUUAGAUACCCGAGUAGUCC
RNAcentral lists this ribosomal RNA (428 nucleotides) under uncultured bacterium. RNAcentral describes it as "bacterial SSU rRNA". It matches the Rfam family "Bacterial small subunit ribosomal RNA", at positions 354 to 796 of the family's 1533-position model. The record is from RNAcentral.